CUUUCGAAACAGCUUUGGAAGCGGAGGCUUUUGUGCGAAAAUUAAAAUCUGAAGCAAGUGCAAGAGGGACAGCAAUGGACACUAAAUAACUUGACAAACGCGGACGCAAUACAGACAGCAGCUCCUCCUCUCAGCAGAUGACUCAGGACCCUCGCUGCGAAGCUCAGACGACCCCCUGCAGAGGCCCAGGGGUCUGUACAGCCUCAUAUAGCAUCUGUUGUGUGGUAAAAACUGGGUCUGAAUCUCGUCUCCUCUCACUUCCUGGUUGAGAAACCUGGAUCAGGCCUUGAGCCCCCCCCACCACCUGCUGGUCUCUCAGUCAGACCCAGACUCAGAGGAGGAGUCUGAGACCAGAACCAGAGACUAGCAGACGGGCCAGAACCGUUAGCACAGUUAGCAUCUUGUAUCUGUUGAUGUUGUUUGUUAGCUUGUAACUGGCAGUGGCUGACACAGUGUUAGCGGUUGUGCUAAUGCUAACUCUCUCUGUCAGGAUUGGUUCCUCAGGUGUGUGACGUAUACAACCCUGAAUCUGUGUUUAUGAGACUGUGAUUGGUUCACUGCAGGUCAAGGUGGAAACACUCAGUCAUGGAGUUGAUGGUUAUUUCAUCAUCAUGUGUCUGUGUUAUAUAAAAACAUCAUGUGGAUGUUAACGAGGUGAAACUCUGGAUUUCUAUUGGAGGGUCUUUAGAUAUUUUCAGCAA
Seriola aureovittata is the source of this 701-nucleotide long non-coding RNA. RefSeq lists it as uncharacterized. The transcript is spliced from 3 exons. Lineage: Eukaryota; Metazoa; Chordata; Actinopteri; Carangiformes; Carangidae. The record is from RefSeq and is a predicted model, not a curated record.